Molecule: long non-coding RNA, 502 nt
Organism: Helianthus annuus (common sunflower)
Lineage: Eukaryota; Viridiplantae; Streptophyta; Magnoliopsida; Asterales; Asteraceae
Exons: 3
Source: RefSeq, a predicted model, not a curated record
GAGACUUAUAUGAUACGCUAUAAAAACCGACACCACCCUCACUUCCAAACCCGCACCUCUCACCUUCUUAUGUUUCGAUAAACAACCCACCGGAGACGGUCAUCGCCGGAGUUUUUACGAUCCGUUUUACCACCCCCCACCGUUGCAGCACUCGCCGGAAUCCUCAGUCGCCGUCGGAGAAGUCUCAUCUUCGACGACACCGGAACUCUCUUCCCGGAGACCACCGCCACUGCCACCGGAGCUCCGCCGACAUCUCGCCGGAGAAGACGACUUCGUCCGGGUAAUUCUCUUGUGCACGUUCCUUUGGAAAAUCCCUGAUUCUUUAUCUUUUCCAAGAAAUACGCAACGCACUCUAAGGUUGAAUGAUCAAGAAAACAAGAAUCAAGCUAGGAUGGACAUUAGAAACCCACUUAGCAUCUUGAUUAUUGUUAAAUGUUAUGUUUAUUUAUUUGGAACUAUGUAUCCCAUUUUGAGAUUUAAUGAAAUCAAUUAAUUCAUAUUG